AUCGUAAAACAUCGUGAAACGCCAAUUACCACUAUUAAAUACCAAAUGUUGUCAGCUAAAAUCUGUCUGAUUUAUUCGUCUAAUGUAAAUUUAAGACGAGUUUUCCGUCUAAGACGAAUAACCCGUCCAACUUAUCCGUCGUUUAGACGGAAAAGUUGGACGGAAAAGUUAAGACGGAGAACCCGUCGUUUACCGAAUUUAUAUUAAGACGAAAAUCCGUCUUAGACGAGUUCUCCGUCUCAGACGGAAAUCCGUGUUUUAAUAUAAAUCCGGCUAGUGUAUACCAAAUAAAAAUGAAAAGAAAUGCAAUUAAUUAGGAAUGUGCAUCGGAGCUCAUCUCACUUUAGCUCAAAAUGACGCAAAAAACUGUCUAUAUGUAUAUAUUAAUUAUGUAAAUUAGUAGUAGAUUGUUCGUCUUCAUCAAAAAUAAAAAAGUGAACGUCGAAGAAAUUGCUCGCUUGUUUCAGAUAGACCGAUGACCUAAUCUUCGUAUCUACUGUACUUAUCACGCCACACUCGCACCCCAUCACAAGAUCAUUGUAAUUUGUAAAUUGUUGUUCAAAUAGACAUAAUGGUUUUCUUUUUAAAGUAUAUGGGAUUAUGAGUUCGAUUACUGUAAUGCUCCCACCUAUGUUAAGGUCGCAACAUCUUACAAAUGCAUGGUCGAUUCUCAGUAACCCAUAUUAUA
Non-coding RNA from Paramuricea clavata, 688 nucleotides. The record is from the annotation of a GenBank genome assembly. Lineage: Eukaryota; Metazoa; Cnidaria; Anthozoa; Malacalcyonacea; Plexauridae.